RNAcentral lists this ribosomal RNA (460 nucleotides) under uncultured bacterium. RNAcentral describes it as "partial 16S ribosomal RNA". It matches the Rfam family "Bacterial small subunit ribosomal RNA", at positions 338 to 795 of the family's 1533-position model. The record is from RNAcentral.
CCUACGGGUGGCAGCAGUGAGGAAUAUUGGUCAAUGGACGAGAGUCUGAACCAGCCAAGUAGCGUGAAGGAUGACUGCCCUAUGGGUUGUAAACUUCUUUUAUAUGGGAAUAAAAUGUUCCACGUGUGGGAUUUUGUAUGUACCCUAUGAAUAAGGAUCGGCUAACUCCGUUCCAGCAGCCGCGGUAAUACGGAGGAUCCGAGCGUUAUCCGGCUUUAUUGGGUUUAAAGGGAGCGCAGGUGGAUGGUUAAGUCAGGGGUGAAAGUUUGCGGAUAAACCGUGAAAUUGCAGUUGAAACUGGCAGGCUUGAGUGCAGUAGAGGUGGGCAGAAUUCGUGGUGUAGCGGUGAAAUGCAUAGAUAUCACGAAGAACUCCGAUUGCGAAGGCAGUUCACUGGACUGCAACUGACACUGAGGCUCGAAAGUGUGGGUAUCAAACAGGAUUAGAUACCCCAGUAGUC